ACCUUAAAAAAUAUUUAAGGUAUUAAUUCGAUUAAAAGGGAAUCUGGUGCAAUAAUUUUAUUAAUUCCAGAACUGUUCCCGCAACUGUAAGUUUAUGCUGAAAUUAUUUCAGUACUUCAUUAGAAGAUGUUAUUAACUUCAAUACCACUGGCUUUUGCUGGGAAGGUGAAAUAACAUAAAAACAAGUCAGGAGACCUGCCUAAUUUCUUAAUAAUUA
This 217-nucleotide non-coding RNA is filed under the name Pseudalgibacter alginicilyticus. Lineage: Bacteria; Pseudomonadati; Bacteroidota; Flavobacteriia; Flavobacteriales; Flavobacteriaceae. The record is from RNAcentral.